CGGGCUCUUCGGAGCUAGUGGCGGACGGGUGAGUAACGCGUGAGGAUCUGCCCUUAGGACGGGGACAACAGCUGGAAACGGCUGCUAAUACCCGAUGUGCCGAGAGGUGAAACUAUUAGGCCUGAGGAUGAGCUCGCGUCUGAUUAGCUAGCUGGAGUGGUAACGGCACACCAAGGCGACGAUCAGUAGCUGGUCUGAGAGGAUGAUCAGCCACACUGGGACUGAGACACGGCCCAGACUCCUACGGGAGGCAGCAGUGGGGAAUUUUCCGCAAUGGGCGCAAGCCUGACGGAGCAAGACCGCGUGCGGGAGGAAGGUCUAUUGAUUGUAAACCGCUUUUGAUAGGGAAGAAGAUCUGACGGUACCUAUCGAAUCAGCAUCGGCUAACUCCGUGCCAGCAGCCGCGGUAAUACGGGGGAUGCAAGCGUUAUCCGGAAUUAUUGGGCGUAAAGCGUCCGUAGGUGGUUUUAAAAGUCUGUUGCCAAAUCGCGAGGCUUAACCUCGUACAGGCAGUGGAAACUAUAAGACUAGAGUGCGGUAGGGGUAGAGGGAAUUUCCAGUGUAGCGGUGAAAUGCGUAGAUAUUGGAAAGAACACCGGUGGCGAAGGCGCUCUACUGGGCCUGCACUGACACUGAGGGACGAAAGCUAGGGGAGCGAAAGGGAUUAGAUACCCCUGUAGUCCUAGCCGUAAACGAUGGAAACUAGGUGUUGCCCGUAUCGACCCGAGCCGUGCCGAAGC
This 740-nucleotide ribosomal RNA is filed under the name uncultured cyanobacterium. RNAcentral's name for it is "bacterial SSU rRNA". It matches the Rfam family "Bacterial small subunit ribosomal RNA", at positions 67 to 852 of the family's 1533-position model. The record is from RNAcentral. Lineage: Bacteria; Bacillati; Cyanobacteriota.